Molecule: ribosomal RNA, 531 nt
Filed under: uncultured bacterium
Lineage: Bacteria
Description: bacterial SSU rRNA
Rfam family: Bacterial small subunit ribosomal RNA
Source: RNAcentral
AAUAGAUACCCUGGUAGUCCACGCCGUAAACGAUGAGUGCUAGGUGUUAGGGGGUCCAACCCUUAGUGCUGAAGUUAACACAUUAAGCACUCCGCCUGGGGAGUACGACCGCAAGGUUGAAACUCAAAGGAAUUGACGGGGGCCCGCACAAGCAGUGGAGCAUGUGGUUUAAUUCGAAGCAACGCGAAGAACCUUACCAGGUCUUGACAUCCUCUGACAACCCUAGAGAUAGGGCGUUCCCCUUCGGGGGACAGAGUGACAGGUGGUGCAUGGUUGUCGUCAGCUCGUGUCGUGAGAUGUUGGGUUAAGUCCCGCAACGAGCGCAACCCUUGAUGUUAGUUGCCAGCAUUUAGUUGGGCACUCUAACGUGACUGCCGGUGACAAACCGGAGGAAGGUGGGGAUGACGUCAAAUCAUCAUGCCCCUUAUGACCUGGGCUACACACGUGCUACAAUGGGCGGUACAAAGGGCAGCGAAACCGCGAGGUGGAGCUAAUCCCAUAAAGCCGCUCUCAGUUCGGAUUGCAGGCUGC